GCUCGACGGAUCGCCGAACCGACUUCGCCAACGCGUUCGUUUACCUAGCAAUUAGGUUUACGGAGGGUCAAAUAAGAUCAAACUCUACUAUUUUACAAAACCCCAUUCGGAGCCCUAAUAUGCAAUUAACCUCCAAAUAAUCCAAAUUAAAUGGAGCAACAUGCUAACAAUGCUCAUUAGAGGCUAUUAGAACACUUAAAGCUAAGGAUUAAGCCAAAUCCCAAAAGCUUACCACAAUGUGAACGCCACGACGAAAACACGCCGCUCCAACGGGCGCACGAAAGCUCGAUCCGUCGCCUCCAACGCGUUCGCAAGCAUCUUCUCCGCCAACGCCGCGAAUUUGAGCGAGAGAUUUAGAGAGAUGAGAGAGAUCUUUAGAGAAAGAAAGGAGCGUUUCUCUCCCCCUUCUCCAUGCGUGCGUGUGAUGCUUAGGCUGCACGGUUUGAGGGAGGAAGAAGCAACAGGCUUCUUUAUACAUUAACACCCAAAACACUAUUCACUCCGGGCAGUUCGAAAUCUGAUAUCUUUCGCCGGAGCUCCCUGAACAUCCGUUUGAGCUCAAAUUUGACAGUCAUGUUUGGUUUUACUUAACGAGUCCAAAAAAAUUUUAAUAUCUCAGUUUCGACCCCGUUUGGUCACCGAAAACUGUACCGAACUGUAAUCUUUAUCAGAUAGCUGUCAGAUUUUAUUUUCUACCUUCCGGGUGUCAGAAUGAUAUAAAACUUUAAAUCUAGCCUCAUAAAAAUAAUUCUGACUUAUCCUCCAGUUUUCAUAAUUUUCUGACACUGUGCAUUUUCUGCUAAUUUAUCUGUCCCGUUUCCAACAGAAAAUUCUAAAUCUUCUGUUUUCAUUCCGAUUUCAGCACAAGUCAUUUUUGACUUAUAUUUUACUUCUCUAAAUCCAAUAAAAAUAGUAUCUCACACUAUUUUUUAUUUAUUUUUAUUUUUAUACCAAAAUCUGGCAUGUUAUACCUUCCCUGCCCGCCCAAGGCUCUAGCAACAAGUAUAAUUAAGUAAUCAAUCAA
RNAcentral lists this long non-coding RNA (1024 nucleotides) under Ananas comosus (pineapple). RNAcentral describes it as "long non-coding RNA (ACOM_LNC026101)". The record is from RNAcentral. Lineage: Eukaryota; Viridiplantae; Streptophyta; Magnoliopsida; Poales; Bromeliaceae.